UUAGCUCCAUUUCAGGUUACUAUAAUUUGAUCUUUAUAACAUUAUGAAUUUAUUUUUAUUUUUUUGGUUGCUUAUGACUAUAAUUUGAUAUUUUGAAUUUAUGAUCAGAUGGAUUAGUUAAAUAUAGAGGGCUUGCCAAACUUCAAUUUGAAGAAGAUGUGGAAUUGAUUAAAGUUGAGUAUCAUAUGUUGCCAGAGGGUAAUUUUUGUAGUGGAACAACCUUUGUUCCAAAAUCUCAAGGUGUUGAUGAGGAUGAUGGUUGGCUUGUGACAUUCACACAUAAUGAAAAUACAAAUGUAUCUCAAGUGAGUUGUAAUAGUUAUAUAUAGUUGAAUAUAAUAUCUAAUAAAGUUAGAUUUUGUUAAGAGAGGUGCUUUACAAGUGAAAGUCAAUACUAAUGUGAACAAUUAUUGUUUCUUGUAGGUAUAUAUAGUUGAUGCAAAAAACUUUGCAACACACCCUAUUGCCACAAUCACAUUACCAAGUAGAGUGCCUUAUGGAUUUCAUGGAGCUUUCAUGCCUUUAUAACCUAGUGCGCGCCAUUUACACGCGUCCCCUAUUACAAUUGUAUUAUCCCUCUUUUGAUAAAAUUAAAUCAUGUGUAUUGGUAUUUUUGAGUGUCAUUUGCUCUUCCUUUCUAUAUUGGAUAAUAAUGUGUUGAUAAGACAUACCAAUAACUGAGUAAUAGCUAUAUAGCUCAUUUUGUCUUCCUAGUUUUGUGUUAUUUAAUUUUAUUACUUAUGUUCUUCUUAUAGAAAAGACUUGUUUAAUUUUGGAGAAACACCUCCUAUAUAUUCAUUGUAUUAGCAAUCGAUAUAAAAAUUAGUUUUUGAUUAUUAAUGUAAUGAGUUCUCUAGCUUAUUAUGGGUCACGUUCUCACAUAAACUAAAUCGGAUAAAAUAGUUGACAGUCAUUUGAUCAAUUUUUAUUAUGAGAGAUGUCAUUUUCCUAUGUUAAGUCAUACUAUCAUACAUAACUCCAAUUGAAAGAUGCUUAUUUCCUAGAAACUAGAUGCUCAUUGUUUACACCAAAACUAUAUAUACCUCUCUUUAGUUAAUGUCAAAAAUUGAACAGCUAGCAAGUUAUUUUUUUUAAUAUAACAUCAUCUCUAAAAAAAACUGUGAUAGAGAGGCAGGUUGACGAUGGCCUUAUGUAGUUAUACAUGUAAAGUAAAUUGCUCCUUUCAAAGGCCUUCAAUUCCAUCCAAAGUUGAGGACUUGAAAGACUCAAUUUCCUCUGCUUUGAAGGUAAACUUUGCUGCUAAUAAUUCUUAAUUUACUAGUAGUUUUAGGUUCUUGUUUCUUCGAUCUUUGUUAUUAUCUAUCGUCUCUUGUAAUUCGUUUAUUGUAGCUACUAUUCUUUUUUAGCAUGCUUUGUCAUGCCUUGGUGUAGCAUGUUGUCCUAGUUUCUUCAUUUCUUUUAUUUUAUUGAGUCGAGGCUGUACACACUAUACCCUCCCACAGACCCCCCACUUGUGGGACUACGCUGAUCAGUAUGUAUGUUAUUGAUGAUGUUAUAAUCCAUCACUAAUUAGGAUUGAUGACGUAAUUAGUCUGUUGCUAAUUCCUGUUUUCUGGUUCGUUUUGAGUUGAUGAUUAGCCAUUUUCGAGGGAUUUGGUGCAUUUUUCAAUUGUAGCUGACAUUCCAAAAGUUGUGAAAGAAACUUCUUUCAAAUUAUUAGAUGCAUUUGUGGACUUUGUAUUUGAAUUUGUUGAUCAGCCAUUACUUCCAUCUCAGGUACAUGAUUUCCAUUAAAUUAAUUACUACAAGAUUCAAUAAUUAAUGUAAAUUAGCUACUACUAAUUAAUUUUGACAGAGUAAUUUUGCACCAGUGGAAGAAAUUGGAGAAGCUGUUGUAGUAACUACAGUGGAAGGGGAAAUUCCAGAUGAUUUUCCGGAGGGUGUUUACAUAAGAAAUGGUCAGCAAUUGUCCUUCUCUUCAAUUAAGAUAUGUUCAAUUAAUUAAAGGGUUUAAUUUCUAUAUGCUUGUUUUUUCAUGUUAUCUAAAAAUCUACAAUCUGGAAUCAGCUAGUCAGUCACUAUCUGUCUUAUUUGUUGUCAUAUUUAAAAUGGCAGCUGGGCAAGAAAACAUAUUAUUCUUGGUUUAGUGGUUUUGUACUUUUGUUAAGAUUUAAUUAAUACCUACCCCGAAAAUGACCACGUUUUGUUAGUUUAAUACUUAAAUUAUAGGGUGUUGUUAGUCCUUGAAUUAUUUCAUUAUAUUUGGUUCAUUUGAAGCCAACUCGAAGGAACAACAACAAUAAUAAGAGCCUGGCUGAAUUUAAGUAAUAACUUUUAAGCAUCAAGUACUGAAAAAUACUUUUUAAGUGUGGGAGCUGAUCAUAUAUUAUUAUAAGUGGGAAACUCCAAUAUGCAAAGUUAAAUUAUCAUAUUAUCCUCACACUAAAUUAAAAUAUCAUUAAAUAUCUAAUUAUUUAAAUACUAAGUAAUAAUUAUAUUAUAUUAUACUAAAUACUAAAAAUAAGAAGGUGUCAAGUCAAACUUUGAAAGAAAAAAAUAUUUCAUAGAAAAUUGUUAGAAAUUAUUUCAUAGAAAGUUGUUAGGAAUUACUUUUUUUUUUUAUAAAAACGCUUUUAUUUAAUUCUUUUAAGAAAGGUUAUGUUUAAGUGGAUUAAAUUUGUUAAUUAGAUAAAGCCUUUUUAUAUAAAAAAAAAAAAGUUAGAUAAUUAAAGCGUUUAUCGUUUAUCCUUUAUUCUUUAUUCUUUUUCUAUAAUUAGUGUGGUUAAAUGAAUUAAAUUUGUUAUCCUUUAUUAUAAUUAGUGUAAUUAAAUGUAUUGAAUUAUUAGUAAAAACAAUCAACCUUUCCUCUCCCCCAUGUCUAAGAUCACUAAGUUCUGAAAAUUAACUUAAACAACUCUGAUCUUCACCUUUUCAUCUUAUCCUAUAAAUCUUUAGCUAUAUAUACAUCAUGAAAAAGUAAUUUUUCUUUACCAAUUGCCUCUUGUUGAUGUGAAUUAUUAGGCAAUUUUCAGGUACUUUUUUUUUGUUUUGAAAUAUUAAUAUUUGUUUUGAUCCUAAUUAGAAUGAUAUUUUGUAUCAUAGUUUUAUCUUUACCAUUUUAGAUGGCUUUUUUUUUUCAACUGUUUUUAAAUAUCUGAAUUUUUGUGGAACAAUUAUUAUACUCUUAUUUUGUCAUAUUUUCCUCAUUCUUGUAUUUACUUCUCUUUUUCUAUAUCAUUUUAAUUUUUAAUUGAUAAGCUAAAUUUCUUUUCAGGUUAUUGUCACAUUAACCGUAUGAAAUAUAUAUAUUAAAAGUGGGAACAAAAAAAGUUAAAAGUUGAAUUAUCAAAUUAUCCUUUAUAGGUUGAAUAGUCAUUUAAGUAUUUAAUUAAACACUAAUCCUUUAAUUAUUGGUAUUAAAAAGUAAAUUUACCUAUCUAUUAAUAAUAUAUUUCAUUAAAAUGAAACAAGAAAACAGAUACAUUCUCACUCAUUAGUUCAUUCAAUUCAAUGUGUGGAAUUGCUUUCAUAUUCCACAAUUAUUCAACCUUUAGAAUUUCUUUUUAGUAUUUUUAGAUUUGUAAAAUUUUCGGUAAUAAAUAUAAACUUUAAACUAAUAGUAUUCAAGAAGUCCAAGUGACGGGCAUAUCUAUGUGGUCAAGAGAAUCAUUUAACUUUUUCUUGCUCUUUUUGGAUUUUCAAUUAUUUUAAAAUUUAUAUGCUAUGUACCAUUCAUAAUAUAUAUAUAAAAGUUUAAAGUUGAAUCCUUCUCUAAAGUAAUUUAAAUAACUUAAUUAAUGUAGUAGUAUUUGACUUUAUGAAAAUUUAUGUGCAUUUUUGUAUUUUUAUGCAGUUCAUAAAAGUAAUUAAUACUUUCAUAUAUAGGAAAAAUCAAAGAAUUAUAUUUGAAGUCUUAUUAUUAUGAUGUGGUUAUUUUUUGUUCACUAUAAAUAAUAUGAUAACACUAUUUAUUUAAAUAUCAUUUGCCGUAAUGUUUUUCUCUCUUUUAUUUACUUAUUUAUUAUUUUUCUUCUUCUUCUUUUGCUUUAAAUAUUCACCUUCAUAAUUCAUAUCUAAUAUAAUUACCUAUUCAAUUGGUACUCUUAAUAUUCAUAACUCUCAUGUUUUUCAUAUUUAUAACUUUCAAAUAUUUAAUUUAAAACUUUAGGGUGUCUUUGAUAUUCCUCUACUUUUAUCUGUAUAAAUCAUUCUUUUUAUUUCAUGAGAAGAAUCCCUACCAAAGGUUAUCCAUUUUCUGUACAAUUAAAGUAGUGAAGCACUUGGAUCAUUAUUAAGGCUUUUGAAUUUUAUUUGGUUACGGGAGAAGGUAUCAUCAAGAACUCUACUCCUUAUGUAUUUUUUUUACUAUAUAUAUUGUUAUAAUAAUUAAAGUCUUAAGAAGGAUAUGAAUGUUGUAUUUGUUCUUAUCUAUUUAAUUUUUUUGUAUUCUUUACCGAUUUAUACUUCUUUAAUUUAAUCUUCUAUGAAAUUAUGAAUGUUAUAAGCCUAUCUUUAUUAGUGCUGAAAUUACUAAUUUAUGACUUUUAUAUUAGUUUUUAAAUGUACUUUUUAUAAUAUUUUCUUUCUUUUAGCCUUUCCUUACUGAUAUGGUUUCUUUAAGUAGCAACAUAUUUGUGUACGUAUUGAUAUGAGAGCGUAAUCAGAGAUUAUUGAGGAUAAGUCAUAGAUAUAUUCAUAUUAUUAGAGGCUACACUAUCUUAAUUAGUUUUCCAUAUUUCUUGCUUGAUGGUCAAUGUACUAUUCGAUUAUUAAGAAUUUUAUUUAAUGAAUAAAAUAUAAAUUGGUAAAACUAAUCAUCAAAGUUAAUAGUCGUCUAACUUGUAAACUUAAUAAACUCCAUUAAUUUACAGGCUCAAAUCCUCUGUUUGGAGGUCUCAAAUCGACCAAGUCCAUAUUUGGGAAAUCAAGUCAGGUAUGGAUUGAAGGCGAAGGAAUGCUUCAUGCUUUGCACUUCACUAGAGAAAAAGGAAGAGGGACUUGGAAUAUCUUCUACAAUAACAAACACGUCCAAACGGACACUUUCAAGAUGGAAAUACAUAGAAAGAAACCUGGUUUUCUUCCUGCUAUUGAAGGGGAUUCUCCAGCCAUUUUAAUGGCUUACGUUUUGAAUGUGGUAUGAAACUUACUUACAUUCGAAUAACUAGAAAUUAAUCUGAUAUAUACGAGGUAAGAAUCUUAGUAACAUGGUUGUUUCUUUGCAGUUGAGAUUUGGCGUGGAAAACAAACAUCUAAGCAAUACAAAUAUUUUUGAGCACUCAAAGAAAUACUACUCUAUUGCUGAAAAUCAUUUGCCUCAAGAGAUAGACAUAUAUACCCUUGCAACAUUAGGUAAUUGGAAUGUCAAUGGAGCUUGGGAUCGACCAUUCACAAGUCAUCCAAAGGUAAUUAUGUUCUAAAAAAGUCUAAUAGUGUGUAUAACAGUAUCGUUCAUCAUCGUAUUUUAUCCACAGAAAGCCCCUGGAACUAGUGAACUUGUUAUAAUGGGAAUAUAUCCAAGAAAGCCAUACUUUGAGCUAGGAGUCAUUUCAGGUAUUGUCAUUUUCUAGUAUCUCCUUCUUCUCAUAAUGAUCUUAAUUCAAGAUGAGCAUUAAAAAAGAGAAUUUAAAUUGGUGCAUAAUAUAUAUAUAUUUAGCUCGCUAAUAAUUUGUUAAUCGGCUAAUUCCUACUUCCAGCUGAUGGCAAGAAAAUGGUUCACAAGGUGGAUCUCAAGUUCAAUAGGUGCAGCCUAUGCCACGAUAUGGGAGUUACAGAAAGGUAAUCGACUUUAGGAAUGUUUCAAUCGAUAAUGAUCAAUAUUUUUAAGCUCAUGUUUGGCUAAUUCUGUAAUAUCUGACAAUCCAUAUAUAGGUACAACGUGAUCAUGGAUUUUCCUCUAACUAUUGACAUAAAUCGACUCAUUAGGGGAGACUCGUGAGUACUUUAAUUUAUCUUUUCCAUUAAUGAUGUUGCAAUCAAAUGAAAUCGUAUUGAUUAUAUAUUUGCUCUGUCUUUUGGUUUGUAGAUUGAUAAAGUAUGAUAAAAAUGGAUAUGCGCGGAUUGGAGUAAUGCCACGAUAUGGUGAUGCUAAUUCCGUUAGAUGGUUUGGUGUUCAACCUAGUUGUGUAUUUCACCUAAUAAAUUGUUUUGAAGACAACGAUGAGGUAGUUUCAGUUCUGUUUUUAACUAAAUUUACUUCUACAUAUUGUAUAAGUUGAGUGAUUGACCAAUAUAAAAUGUAUGUGAUUCCGAUUUGUUUGGCAAAAGGUGGUUGUAUGGGGAUGUAGAGCUCGUGAAUCAGUAUUACCAAGACCUGGUUACAAAGAUAAAAAAUCCAAGAGAUUUUUCGAAGGGUUUGAAGAAACAAGUUCCACAAAAAACAAUAAUGAAUCUUUAGAAGAAUCAUUCUUUUUUCGUGUUUGUGAAUGGAGACUAAACAUGAGAACAGGGGAAGUAAAGGAGAAAAAUGUCGUAACUAAGUUCUUUAUGGAGUUCCCUAUGAUCAAUGAAAAGUUCAUUGGUCUAAGAAACAAAUUUUGUUAUCUACAAGUGGUAGAUAGAGAAGCUAGCUCCAUUUCAGGUUACUAUCAUUUGAUCUUUACACCAUUAUGAAUUUUCGUUUUCGUUAAAAAAAUUUGGUACGUUGCUAAUGACUGUAAUUUGAUACUAUUUUGAAUUUAUGAUUAGAUGGAUUAGUUAAAUAUGGAGGACUUGUCAAACUUCAAUUUGAAGAAGAUAUGGAAUUGAUUAAAGUUGAGUAUCAUAUGUUGCCAGAGGGUAAUUUUUGUAGUAGAACAACCUUUGUUCCAAAACCUCAAGGUGUUGAUGAGGAUGAUGGUUGGCU
Molecule: long non-coding RNA, 6802 nt
Filed under: Solanum tuberosum (potato)
Lineage: Eukaryota; Viridiplantae; Streptophyta; Magnoliopsida; Solanales; Solanaceae
Description: long non-coding RNA (STUB_LNC008288)
Source: RNAcentral